AUUUAAGUAGUUUAAAGAAAAAUUUCGAUUUGUGGUGUCGAAGAUAUAGUAGUAUCUUAAAU
This 62-nucleotide transfer RNA is filed under the name Triangulara sp. Its description in RNAcentral is "tRNA-His". Lineage: Eukaryota; Metazoa; Arthropoda; Insecta; Coleoptera; Lampyridae. The record is from RNAcentral.